This 472-nucleotide ribosomal RNA is filed under the name uncultured anaerobic ammonium-oxidizing bacterium. RNAcentral describes it as "bacterial SSU rRNA". It matches the Rfam family "Bacterial small subunit ribosomal RNA", at positions 364 to 832 of the family's 1533-position model. The record is from RNAcentral.
UUCGCAAUGCCCGAAAGGGUGAACGAGCGACGCCGCGUGCGGGAUGAAGGGCUUCGGCUUGUGAACCGCUUUUCUUUGGGAAGAAGGUCCGUGUCGUGAACUCGGGCUCGACGGUACCAGAGGAAUAAGCCCCGGCUAACUCCGUGCCAGCAGCCGCGGUAAGACGGAGGGGGCGAGCGUUGUUCGGAAUUAUUGGGCGUAAAGGGCGCGUAGGCGGACCGGCGGGUCCGGCGUGAAAUCUCCACCGCUCAACGGGGAGAAGCCGCUGGAAACUACCGGUCUGGAGUUUGGCAGAGGGUCAUGGAAUUCCAGGUGUAGCGGUAAAAUGCGUUGAGAUCGGAAGGAACGCCCGUGGCGAAAGCGAGGUCCUGGACGUCUGCUGACGCUGAGACGCGAAAGCUAGGGGAGCAAACGGGAUUAGAUACCCCGGUAGUCCUAGCCGUAAACGAUGGGCACUAAGUAGAGGGGUUUU